Molecule: unclassified non-coding RNA, 300 nt
Organism: Aotus nancymaae (Ma's night monkey)
Lineage: Eukaryota; Metazoa; Chordata; Mammalia; Primates; Aotidae
Rfam family: Metazoan signal recognition particle RNA
About the family: The signal recognition particle (SRP) is a universally conserved ribonucleoprotein. It is involved in the co-translational targeting of proteins to membranes.
Source: Ensembl
GCCAGGUGCGGUGGUGCAUGCUUGUAGUCCCAGCUACUCGGGAGGCUGAGGUGGGAGGAUCCGCUUGAGCCCAGGAGUUCUGGGCUGUAGUGUACUAUGCCAAUUGGGUGUCUGCACUAAGUUCGGCAUCAAUAUGGUGACCUCCCAGGAGCAGGAGACCACCAGGUUGCCUAAGGAGGGGGGAACUGGCCCAGGUCAGAAACAGAGCAGGUCAAAACUCCGAUGCCGAUCAGUAGUGGGAUCGCACCUGUGAAUAGCCACUGCACUCCAGCCUGGGCAACAUAGCAGGAUCUCGUCUCU